This 502-nucleotide ribosomal RNA is filed under the name uncultured bacterium. RNAcentral describes it as "bacterial SSU rRNA". It matches the Rfam family "Bacterial small subunit ribosomal RNA", at positions 28 to 524 of the family's 1533-position model. The record is from RNAcentral.
GAUUAACGCUAGCGGCAGGCCUAAUACAUGCAAGACGAACGGUAAGUUGAGUAGCAAUACUUAGCCAAGAGUGUCGUACGGGUGCGUAACACGUAUGCAACCUACCCUAUACAGGAGGAUAGCCUAGGGAAGCCUGGAUUAACCCUUCAUAGUAUUAUUGGAUGGCAUCAUUUGAUAAUUAAAACUGAGGUGGUAUAGGAUGGGCAUGCGUCUGAUUAGUUAGUUGGCGGGGUAAUGGCCCACCAAGACGAUGAUCAGUAGGGGUUCUGAGAGGAAGAUCCCCCACACUGGCACUGAGAUACGGGCCAGACUCCUACGGGAGGCAGCAGUAGGGAAUACUGGUCAAUGGAUGCAAGUCUGAACCAGCCAUGCCGCGUGCAGGAAGAAGGCCCUUCUGGGGUUGUAAACUGCUUUUGCCAGGGGAUAAAAUUUCCAUGCGUGGAAAACUGAAGGUACCUGGUGAAUAAGCCACGGCUAACUACGUGCCAGCAGCCGCGGUAAU